Molecule: ribosomal RNA, 253 nt
Filed under: uncultured bacterium
Lineage: Bacteria
Description: partial 16S ribosomal RNA
Rfam family: Bacterial small subunit ribosomal RNA
Source: RNAcentral
UACGGGGGGGGCAAGCGUUGUUCGGAAUUCCUGGGCGUAAAGGGCUCGUAGGUGGCCAACUAAGUCAGACGUGAAAUCCCUCGGCUUAACCGGGGAACUGCGUCUGAUACUGGAUGGCUUGAGUUCGGGAGAGGGAUGCGGAAUUCCAGGUGUAGCGGUGAAAUGCGUAGAUAUCUGGAGGAACACCGGUGGCGAAGGCGGCAUCCUGGACCGAUACUGACGCUGAGGAGCGAAAGCCAGGGGAGCAAACGGG